GGUACUGCUGGGGGCGCGCGGGGGCUGGAGCGCACUGGGCUGGGAUCUGCAGGUGUCGGGGAGGGCGCUUGCCUGUUGGCGCGGGGCAGUGGGCUGCUGGGCAGGACUGUCUGGUGCGCGGGGCUGCUACGUCGUCGCCGAUGUGGGUGCUGCGACAGUGGGGAGCGGACGAGUCCGAUCUAGGUGCUGCGACGGUGGACUAAUUCGAUGAUACGGGCUGGUGUCCGGAUCGAUCUGGAAAUGCAGCAGGCGUGGACGUCCGGUGGUUUGCAAGAAUCGAUCGGUGCUGGGGCUGGGUUGCAGCGUUGGGAUCGGGCUGCGAUCGGUGCUGGGUUGCAGGGAUCUGCAGGUGGGAGGCAGCAGCGAUCGGUGCUGGGUUGCAGGGAUCGAUCGGUGCGGCUAUGCGGGGAUGGGGCCGGUCUUGGCCGGUGAGGUGAGGCUGGGGAAGAAGGGA
Molecule: long non-coding RNA, 454 nt
Filed under: Rosa chinensis
Lineage: Eukaryota; Viridiplantae; Streptophyta; Magnoliopsida; Rosales; Rosaceae
Description: sRNA RchiOBHm_Chr5g0051971
Source: RNAcentral